CUCCAGGCUGCCUGGUGCCAGGUGAAUGGUACCAACAAACUUAAUGGAAAAAAAGAAGCUCUCAUACUCCAAUGCAACUGAAUAUGAGGCAGCAGCAAGAAGGAAUGACUUACUGAGAUGUGCACAGAUACAGAUGACUCUCAAAAGCAUUCUGCUGGACUUGAAGAGCUGUGCAGUGUAAUUUCAGUUGUAAACUAGCUGUGUGUAUGAAAGAAAAUGAGCGAAACAGGAGCACCUGAGUCAAGGC
Molecule: long non-coding RNA, 247 nt
Organism: Fukomys damarensis (Damara mole-rat)
Lineage: Eukaryota; Metazoa; Chordata; Mammalia; Rodentia; Bathyergidae
Exons: 3
Source: RefSeq, a predicted model, not a curated record